This 472-nucleotide ribosomal RNA is filed under the name uncultured bacterium. RNAcentral describes it as "bacterial SSU rRNA". It matches the Rfam family "Bacterial small subunit ribosomal RNA", at positions 129 to 587 of the family's 1533-position model. The record is from RNAcentral.
CCCCAGAGCGGGGGAUAACAUUUGGAAACAGAUGCUAAUACCGCAUAACAACGAAAGCCACAUGGCUUUUGUUUGAAAGAUGGCUUUGGCUAUCACUCUGGGAUGGACCUGCGGUGCAUUAGCUAGUUGGUAAGGUAACGGCUUACCAAGGCGAUGAUGCAUAGCCGAGUUGAGAGACUGAUCGGCCACAAUGGAACUGAGACACGGUCCAUACUCCUACGGGAGGCAGCAGUAGGGAAUCUUCCACAAUGGGCGCAAGCCUGAUGGAGCAACACCGCGUGAGUGAAGAAGGGUUUCGGCUCGUAAAGCUCUGUUGUUGGAGAAGAACGUGCGUGAGAGUAACUGUUCACGCAGUGACGGUAUCCAACCAGAAAGUCACGGCUAACUACGUGCCAGCAGCCGCGGUAAUACGUAGGUGGCAAGCGUUAUCCGGAUUUAUUGGGCGUAAAGCGAGCGCAGGCGGUUGCUUAGG